GUCAUCUAGUGAGAUUAAGCAAUCAGUUUUAGCUACUUUCAGUUGAAAGCAGUUGGCAACACUGAUUGGGGCAGUUCAGACUUUGCUUGGGGACACACUUCUCCCCUGCUCCAGACUGAACUUUGUGGUUGCUUUUCAUGCAGAGACAAUAGUUGUGUAUUAGCAAUGGCUAAUUGUGUUUCUGCAUGAACUAUUAAUGGAUAUUGUUCCAGGUUGUGAUUAAGCAAAAGAAGCCUCAGAUGAAGGAACAAUCAGGUAAAAUGUUGUCUCACUUCUCUGGCUGUUAUUGGUCAACUCCUUUUCACAUUCUCUGUCUUUUUUUUUCUGCAGGGCAGGCACAUUAAGUGGAACAGAAUAAAAUGUUGAUUUUGUGCCUAGAAAUCAUCUCUCCUCUUUCUUCCCCCAAGUUUUAUGACAUUGUUCAAUGUUCUGCUUUGAAAUUGGUCUCAAAAGCAGUUUUUGAGAGAGGUCAUGGUGUAGUAUGUGUUCUUUGUAUCUAGCAUGCAGGGACUGAUAACCAGGGUAAUAAUUCCAGACGACGCCUUUUCCCCCUGAUCCAGAAAAGGAAACUAGGGGUGAGGAGAAGGGUGUCGACCCAGGCCCCAGAAUUCACUCCAGUGUUGGCCCAGUCCCAGAGUAUUGCCCAUGGAGGGCUCCCAAUCCCCAGUCAAGCCCAGGAAGGGCUCCCAAUCCCGAUUAAGCCCACGGAGGACUCCUGUUCCAGAGUACAGCCCACAGAGGGCUCCUGAUCCAGAGUUAAGCCCAAGGAGGGCUCCCGAUGCCCAGUUCAGCCCAGGAAGGGCUCCUGUUCCCGAAUAUAGCCCACGGAGGGCACGUAAAACCUAGGGAGGGCUCCAGACCCUAAAUAUAGCCCUGUAAAGUGGCAGAGGCGGGGGCAUGGACAGCGGCCUCAGAGGCUGCUAUGCCAUGGCCUCCCGAGUCCCCAGAUCUGCCAUGGCCUCCCGAGUCCCCAGAUCCGCCAUGGCCUCUCGAGUCUUCAGAUCCGCCAUGGCCUCCAGAGUCUCUAGAACCGGCAUGGCUUCCGAGUCCACAGAUCCACCAUGGCCUCCCAAGUCCCCUGAUCCGCCAUGACUCCCCCCACGGGUUCUACCACUGUCCCAUGUCUGUCCUGAGGGACCUCCAGAGUGCCCACCCCUCCUCCCCGUUGGAUGUUAUGUGGCAUGAGGUCACGCCUUCUGGAGGGGUCGUUAUGUCAGAGUCUGUCCCGUGUUUUGUUUAUAUCUACUCCUUGUGCUACGUGUGAUUCCCUGACAUCUGAAUAAAUUCCUUGUUGAUGUACUCCUGGUCUCCUCAUUCCUUGCUCUGUGCUCCUUCACAGUAGCAAAUUGUGACAACCAGUAGCAUCCAGAUACAGUGUGUAGCACUUUUUUGACUCUGUGAAAGAGACAGCGCCCUGAGUUCAAUUUAAAUAUAUUCUUUACCCUUAAAUGGUAUUCACCUCAGGUUUCCUAUCUUUUAUUAAAAUUCAGCAUCACAUUAGUUCAGGCAGGCCACGUUAGUCAAGAUUGCUUCAGCCGACAGUCAGCUGUUCCUGAC
Long non-coding RNA from Cyprinus carpio carpio, 1557 nucleotides. Lineage: Eukaryota; Metazoa; Chordata; Actinopteri; Cypriniformes; Cyprinidae. The record is from Ensembl.